RNAcentral lists this ribosomal RNA (495 nucleotides) under uncultured bacterium. Its description in RNAcentral is "bacterial SSU rRNA". It matches the Rfam family "Bacterial small subunit ribosomal RNA", at positions 791 to 1286 of the family's 1533-position model. The record is from RNAcentral.
UAGUCCACGCCGUAAACGAUGUGUGCUAGAUGUCGGGUCCAUAGGAUUCGGUGUCGCAGCUAACGCACUAAGCACACCGCCUGGGGAGUACGGUCGCAAGAUUAAAACUCAAAGGAAUUGACGGGGACCCGCACAAGCGGUGGAGCAUGUUCUUUAAUUCGACGCAACGCGAAGAACCUUACCUACACUUGACAUCCUGAUCGCGUUUUCUAGAGAUAGAUUACUUCAGUUCGGCUGGAUCAGUGACAGGUGCUGCACGGCUGUCGUCAGCUCGUGUCGUGAGAUGUUUGGUUAAGUCCAGCAACGAGCGCAACCCCUAUCGUAUGUUACCAGCAUUUAGUUGAGGACUCAUGCGAGACUGCCGGUGUUAAGCCGGAGGAAGGUGGGGACGACGUCAAGUCAUCAUGGCCCUUACGUGUAGGCUACACACGUGCUACAAUGGACAGGACAGAGGGUCGCCAAGCCGCGAGGUGGAGCUAAUCCCAGAAACCUGUU